CACGUAGGGCGCAAGCGUUGUCCGGAAUUAUUGGGCGUAAAGAGCUCGUAGGCGGUCUGUUGCGUCCGCUGUGAAAACUCGGGGCUUAACCCCGAGCCUGCAGUGGAUACGGGCAGACUAGAGGUAGGUAGGGGAGAAUGGAAUUCCCGGUGUAGCGGUGAAAUGCGCAGAUAUCGGGAGGAGCACCGGUGGCGAAGGCGGUUCUCUGGGCCUUACCUGACGCUGAGGAGCGAAAGCGUGGGGAGCAAACAGG
RNAcentral lists this ribosomal RNA (253 nucleotides) under uncultured bacterium. RNAcentral describes it as "partial 16S ribosomal RNA". It matches the Rfam family "Bacterial small subunit ribosomal RNA", at positions 524 to 776 of the family's 1533-position model. The record is from RNAcentral.